UACGUAGGGGGCUAGCGUUGUCCGGAAUCAUUGGGCGUAAAGAGCGUGUAGGCGGCUCGGUAAGUCCGCUCUGAAAGCCCGGGGCUCAACCCCGGGAGGCGGGUGGAUACUGCUGAGCUCGAGUCCGGAAGAGGAGUGUGGAAUUCCUGGUGUAGCGGUGAAAUGCGCAGAUAUCGAGGAGGAACACCAAGUGGCGAAGGCAGCACUCUGGGACGGUACUGACGCUGAGACGCGAAAGCGUGGGGAGCAAACAGG
RNAcentral lists this ribosomal RNA (255 nucleotides) under uncultured bacterium. RNAcentral's name for it is "partial 16S ribosomal RNA". It matches the Rfam family "Bacterial small subunit ribosomal RNA", at positions 524 to 776 of the family's 1533-position model. The record is from RNAcentral.